RNAcentral lists this ribosomal RNA (161 nucleotides) under uncultured bacterium. RNAcentral describes it as "partial 16S ribosomal RNA". The record is from RNAcentral.
GCACGUAGUUAGCCGGUGCUUCUUCUUCCGGUACCGUCAUCCACACCGGGUAUUAACCGAUGCGAUUUCGUCCCGGCCGAAAGAGGUUUACAACCCGAAGGCCUUCUUCCCUCACGCGGCAUGGCUGGAUCAGGCUUUCGCCCAUUGUCCAAAAUUCCCCA